This 2743-nucleotide small RNA is filed under the name Pan troglodytes (chimpanzee). RNAcentral's name for it is "processed transcript". The record is from RNAcentral. Lineage: Eukaryota; Metazoa; Chordata; Mammalia; Primates; Hominidae.
AGAAUUUGAAUACAUACAGUGAGACCCUAGAGCUCAAGCAUUGUAUAUCUUUACCUAAGAUCUUUCAAAGAGGAAGAUGAAGAUGUAAAAGAAUAAAGUAGGCUAUGCUGAUAUUUCACAUCCUGGCCAGAGAUCACCCUGCUUUUGUAAAGCUUUGGAGAAAAUGGGUACUGGAUUUUUCCAACUACCACAUGGAGACUUUUUCAUUGAACCCGUGAAGAAGCAUCCACUGGUUGAGGGAGGGUACCACCCGCACAUCGUUUACAGGAGGCAGAAAGUUCCAGAAACCAAGGAGCCAACCUGUGGAUUAAAGGACAGCGUUAACAUCUCCCGGAAGCAAGAGCUAUGGCGGGAGAAGUGGGAGAGGCACAACUUGCCAAGCAGAAGCCUCUCUCGGCGUUCCAUCAGCAAGGAGAGAUGGGUGGAGACACUGGUGGUGGCCGACACAAAGAUGAUUGAAUACCAUGGGAGUGAGAAUGUGGAGUCCUACAUCCUCACCAUCAUGAACAUGGUCACUGGGUUGUUCCAUAACCCAAGCAUUGGCAAUGCAAUUCACAUUGUUGUGGUUCGGCUCAUUCUACUCGAAGAAGAAGAGCAAGGACUGAAAAUAGUUCACCAUGCAGAGAAGACACUGUCUAGCUUCUGCAAGUGGCAGAAGAGUAUCAAUCCCAAGAGUGACCUCAAUCCUGUUCAUCACGACGUGGCUGUCCUUCUCACCAGAAAGGACAUCUGUGCUGGUUUCAAUCGCCCCUGCGAGACCCUGGGCCUGUCUCACCUUUCAGGAAUGUGUCAGCCUCACCGCAGUUGUAACAUCAAUGAAGAUUCGGGACUCCCUCUGGCUUUCACAAUUGCCCAUGAGCUAGGACACAGCUUCGGCAUCCAGCAUGAUGGGAAAGAAAAUGACUGUGAGCCUGUGGGCAGACAUCCGUACAUCAUGUCCCGCCAGCUCCAGUACGAUCCCACUCCGCUGACAUGGUCCAAGUGCAGCGAGGAGUACAUCACCCGCUUCUUGGACCGAGGCUGGGGGUUCUGUCUUGAUGACAUACCUAAAAAGAAAGGCUUGAAGUCCAAGGUCAUUGCCCCCGGAGUGAUCUAUGAUGUUCACCACCAGUGCCAGCUACAAUAUGGACCCAAUGCUACCUUCUGCCAGGAAGUAGAAAACGUCUGCCAGACACUGUGGUGCUCCGUGAAGGGCUUUUGUCGCUCUAAGCUGGACGCUGCUGCAGAUGGAACUCAAUGUGGUGAGAAGAAGUGGUGUAUGGCAGGCAAGUGCAUCACAGUGGGGAAGAAACCAGAGAGCAUUCCUGGAGGCUGGGGCCGCUGGUCACCCUGGUCCCACUGUUCCAGGACCUGUGGGGCUGGAGUCCAGAGUGCAGAGAGGCUCUGCAACAACCCCGAGCCAAAGUUUGGAGGGAAAUAUUGCACUGGAGAAAGAAAACGCUAUCGCUUGUGCAACGUCCACCCCUGUCGCUCAGAGACACCAACAUUUCGGCAGAUGCAGUGCAGUGAAUUUGACACUGUUCCCUACAAGAAUGAACUCUACCACUGGUUUCCCAUUUUUAACCCAGCACAUCCUUGUGAGCUCUACUGCCGACCCAUAGAUGGCCAGUUUUCUGAGAAAAUGCUGGAUGCUGUCACUGAUGGUACCCCUUGCUUUGAAGGUGGCAACAGCAGAAAUGUCUGUAUUAAUGGCAUAUGUAAGAUGGUUGGCUGUGACUAUGAGAUCGAUUCCAGUGCCACCGAGGAUCGCUGCGGUGUGUGCCUGGGAGAUGGCUCUUCCUGCCAGACUGUGAGAAAGAUGUUUAAGCAGAAGGAAGGAUCUGGUUAUGUUGACAUUGGGCUCAUUCCAAAAGGAGCAAGGGACAUAAGAGUGAUGGAAAUUGAGGGAGCCGGAAACUUCCUGGCCAUCAGGAGUGAAGAUCCUGAAAAAUAUUACCUGAAUGGAGGGUUUAUUAUCCAGUGGAACGGGAACUAUAAGCUGGCAGGGACUGUCUUUCAGUAUGACAGGAAAGGAGACCUGGAAAAGCUGAUGGCCACAGGUCCCACCAAUGAGUCUGUGUGGAUCCAGCUUCUAUUCCAGGUGACUAACCCUGGCAUCAAGUAUGAGUACACAAUCCAGAAAGAUGGCCUUGACAAUGAUGUUGAGCAGCAGAUGUACUUCUGGCAGUAUGGCCACUGGACAGAGUGCAGUGUGACCUGCGGGACAGGUAUCCGCCGCCAAACUGCCCAUUGCAUAAAGAAGGGCCGCGGGAUGGUGAAAGCUACAUUCUGUGACCCAGAAACACAGCCCAAUGGGAGACAGAAGAAGUGCCAUGAAAAGGCUUGUCCACCCAGGUGGUGGGCAGGGGAGUGGGAAGCAUGCUCGGCGACAUGCGGGCCCCACGGGGAGAAGAAGCGAACCGUGCUGUGCAUCCAGACCAUGGGCUCUGACGAGCAGGCUCUCCCGCCCACAGACUGCCAGCACCUGCUGAAGCCCAAGACUCUCCUUUCCUGCAACAGAGACAUCCUGUGCCCCUCGGACUGGACAGUGGGCAACUGGAGUGAGUGUUCUGUUUCCUGUGGUGGUGGAGUGCGGAUUCGCAGUGUCACAUGUGCCAAGAACCAUGAUGAACCUUGCGAUGUGACAAGGAAACCCAACAGCCGAGCUCUGUGUGGCCUCCAGCAAUGCCCUUCUAGCCGGAGAGUUCUGAAACCCAACAAAGGCACUAUUUCCAAUGGAAAAAACCCACCAACACUAAAGCCC